This 75-nucleotide transfer RNA is filed under the name Nitrospira moscoviensis. RNAcentral's name for it is "tRNA-Gly". It matches the Rfam family "tRNA". From Rfam's summary of the family: Transfer RNA (tRNA) molecules are approximately 80 nucleotides in length. Their secondary structure includes four short double-helical elements and three loops (D, anti-codon, and T loops). Lineage: Bacteria; Pseudomonadati; Nitrospirota; Nitrospiria; Nitrospirales; Nitrospiraceae. The record is from RNAcentral. RNAcentral also lists the same sequence under 9 other names.
GCGGGCGUAGCUCAGCGGUAGAGUCCCAGCCUUCCAAGCUGGCUGUCGUGGGUUCAACUCCCACCGCCCGCUCCA